AUUGUUAAGAACCUCCACCAGAAUCUGUAAAUGCAAUGAUACAACAGAAGAACGAAAAAUGUUAAAAUGAGAAAAUUCAGUUAAUAUACACUAUCCAGAAAAGUUUUGAAAAACAUAUUCUAAAAGGAACUCAACAAAAAAAUAUAUAAAUAAAUAACACACAGAAGAAGUUCACAUACAUGCUAUUUCACAUUAAUUUGUUGCAUGUGUAUGUAUUAAUGUGUAUCAUUCUUUUCCCAUUGUUUUCUGUAAGCAUGCUAGUGACUUUUCACAAGGACCAACCAAAUUGAAAUUUGCCCUCCAUAAUGUAAACAUAACAAUAAAUUUUAGACCGCAAAACACCAGCAAUUACCAAUUAAAAGCAAGUUAUUAGAUAUGGUGACGGCCUCCUAUAAAAGUAAUUUAAAAAAAUUGAUAAAUGAAAAGAAAAGAAACAAAGAAGACAAAUGAGGGAUUGCAUGGAACAAGCGGUGUACUACACGCCUAACUAUCCUCUCAAAAAUAAGUGUCUAGUCAUUUUGAAUAAUCUACGUGUGCAAAUUCAUGAAACUUUGCAGGCUUUGGGAAGGGCUAAAUGUACACAGCCUUCACCUUCCAUACAAGGAGGCUCUUUCUUGAUUUGAACCCACUGCCUCCAAUUUAUAAUGAGGUGAUCUUACCAUUACACAAAAGCUCAACCUCUAGAAAAACAACAAAUAUGAAAUCGUUGCACAAUCAAAGCAGGGAAGUACCAAAAUCACGAAGCAUGCAAUUAAAAAUAAUUACUAGAGAAGGAUCAUAAGCACACGUUAAAAGAUCACCAAACCCCAUGGAAAGCAAAACAAAGCCCUCUAAUUCUAAAUUAUUGAAUGAAUGUGUGGCAACAGGCUAUUUGGUUAAUAAAUAAUCCCUCACCAUCUCAAAGUCAAUAUCAUUCAAUAAUAAUUUCAAUUUCCAAUUACUCGUUUCAUCCAACCACAUCAACCAAGAUAAUACAAUCUUGUGCCAUAAAGCCCAUCAAUGGACCUAGCAACUUGGAAUUAGCCCUAUAUUACUUGCCCAUCAAAGGAACAACACCUAGAAUCUCCAAAAUACACAACCAAAUAUUACCUAUCACUCAUUAGCGCCUUCAUAGUAGGACAAAUGAAGGAAUGUUAUUGGAAGAUUAUAAGAUUGUUUAAAGCUUUCCAUAUAACAUUUUCUACAAAACAACAAUCAUUAUUGCUAAUGUAGAUAACAAAGACUGCAUCAUAAAAUCCACAGCACUGCUACCACAACGACUGCUAUUUAAAGCCAUGGAUAUAAAUAGAUCUCUUUUUUUUUUUUUUUUUUU
This 1312-nucleotide unclassified non-coding RNA is filed under the name Hevea brasiliensis (rubber tree). Lineage: Eukaryota; Viridiplantae; Streptophyta; Magnoliopsida; Malpighiales; Euphorbiaceae. The record is from RNAcentral.